UUAUAAUAAUGAAGCCUUAUAAUUUCUCUUACCUUGAUUACCUAUAGUUAUUUUACUUUGUAUUUUUUACCUCGUUCUUUUUCAUUUUCAAAUAUCUAAGAACUUAUACCCUUUUUCAUCACAAAUUUCUCGCAUUAUCCCUUUAUCAAACCAAACCAAUCGCUUAGAUCUCUCACUCGAGUAAUCAUUCUAGACCCUCCUAAUGAUCAAAGAUAAGAAAAACAAGGGGAGGAAAAAGAAUUGAAAAGAAAAGCCACAAAGCGAAACCGUUGGAAAAGCCAAAGAUAAAUUUUUUUUGGUGUUCUGGGUAUUUGUCAAAGGUUACAAUUUUGGUCUGUUUUGCUGAACUUUUCAGUUGUACAAGUAACUGUACUGAUCCAAAAUUGAAGUACACUAUUGAUGAGCCCAAUGGCUGCACGUACACUAUCUCUAGCCACACCUGGGACUAAUUACCUAAAGGAGACACUCCAUGCUCAGCAAGAACUUUUGCAGAAACUAUACAGUGAAUUGGAUAUGGAGAGAGAAUCCUCUGCUACUGCUGCUGAUGAAGCUUUAUCCAUGAUAUUAUGCUUGCAGGGUGAAAAGGCAGCAGUGGGAAUGGAGGCUAGUCAAUAUAAGAGAAUUGCCGAAGAAAAGAUUUGUCAUGCUCAAGAAACACUCGAGACUUUUCAGGAAGUAAUAUAUCAGAAAGAAAUGCAGAUUGCUUCCCUUGAGUUCCAAGUUCAGGCAUACAGGUUCAAACUUUUGAGCAUGGGGUGUGAUGAUUUAGGUACCUGUGAGAUACAAUAUCCUGAUAACAUGUUGUCAAGAAAAAAUGCAGAAGAAUCAAGCUCGCGAAGCACUCUCAGACGGAAUAGUUCACUACCACCUCCUCCAAAUAAUGGUGCGUUGAGUAGGCGAGCUUCUACCGAGGGAACAAAAUCCUCAACACCCUCUCCACACCCAUGGCAGGAAAGUAAAGGUGAAGACCCCUAUAUUCGAAGGGAGCAAGAUUCAUAUUGGGAAGAGAUUAAGAAGUUAGAUGAACGGUUGAAGGAGUUGGAUGAUCUUAAGGGCUCUAGUACUUUCCCUUCAACUGAGGAUACAAAUAAUGUUCCACUAACAAGUGCAUCUCCAAUUGCAUCCCUCCCCUGAAAAUACUCCUGCAAAAUCAGAUAUUCUUGAAUCUCCUGAAACUGCAGCCAGUGUUCAAGCAUGUGAAGAUUUUGCUUGCUCGACAAGUGUUCAGGAUAUCUUUGAAGUCCCAAUAUGUUCUUUAGUUGAUCAAGAUGGUACUUCUAAGGAAGAAAGCCACAAUCUGACUGUUGAAAGUGAAAUUAGGAACGGAAUGCUAGAUUCUGUCUGGGGUAAGAUAUGUAAGUCUAUUGUCAAGGAGAAAAAUGAUUGGGAGAAAAAACCAUUGUUAACUCCAGAUAGUGACCAAAGCUUAACUAAGACAGAUGAUGCCAAAGAGAAAAUUGAUUGGAAAAAGAAGCCAUUGUUUUCCCCAGGUAGCAGUAAUGAUUCACUUAAACCAAAAGAGUGCAAGACUGAUAAGCCAUUGCUUUUUAAACAACCAACAUUUGGCGUUGCUGACUUGGAAUUUCAGCAGUUCAACAGAAGACUUAAGCAACUUAAGGAUCAGAGGUUUGUAACAAGAGGCCAUGAAAUAAACGCUGAUAAAGCAGAAGAAGAAUUGAGAGUUUUGUGGGAGAUUAGGGAUAAAAUUGACUCAAUGCAGGCUGAGAUAUCUCGCUGGAAGACUAAGAAGCCUUUGCCAACAGAAGGUCGUUCCCCUGGUUGCCUUAAAGAGGUGAUCCUUUGCUUUUGGCCUUAAUCAAAUCUCUAGACGAUCAUGGUGUGGUAGCUCCUUAUUUUUUCUAGAAUUAAUAUCUGGAAAAGAAUGCUCACUAUCUUGGAGGAAUUUUGUGUUUCUGUUUCUUUCAUAAGAUGAAGUCGUGAAAUCGCUUAGUUAAAUGCGUUUUGAGUUCCCUGUAUAUCAUGUAUAGAUAAACAACCUAUAUCGCAUAGAAACAUCUCUUCGAGGUGAGUUCCAUACCUUAGAGAACAUAUAUGGCUCCUUGUUUUCUUUGGUUUUCCUAGCUGUGUAAAUUUCCUUCUCAUACAGAAUUGGAUAUACAUGCAAGUUUGUAAAUGAUUGAAACAACACUAAGUCUUUGGCGCCUUGGCGGAGAUUUAGAUUUUUGAUUGUCAAAUCACUCUAUCUUUUGAUUUUUGAUAGUAAGAUGCCGUUUCCUUUCACCUGAGAGCAACUUAUCUGAACUUCUGUUUGCUUAACACUUAUUGGAAUCUGAAAUGUACUCUUUGGAUGUGGAAAGAACAAAGCCCAAGUGUCAAUGGUGUACAGUGUAAAAACUUUUUGAAGCCUUUUGAGUUGAUGCUUGUUGCAUUUUACUUAAAUAUGAAGUUAUAGUGCUCUAAAGUUAAUAUGUUAUUCAUCUUUAUUGUAUCAAUUUUAAGUACCAGGAGGUUUUUUUUUUUUUAAAUUAUGUUUUUAAUUUAUUUUUAACCCUUUGAAAAAUUUAGAAAGUUGAUCUGCCUUAGUCAUUAGAUAUGCCUUAUCAUGCAUCUAGCUAAGACAAUUUUAAAAAGGUGCACCCUGAUUCCUUUUGAUUUGUGGUUACUUACCUCAAUGAAUAUUUUACCCCCAUAAACCUACACAUUCUUUCGUUUAGCUUCACACUUGAGAAACUUGUAGCGACGGUGUUCUAUCGAAAAUUUUAAAGUGCAAUUUCCUUGUUGUAG
Molecule: RNA transcript, 2745 nt
Organism: Chenopodium quinoa (quinoa)
Lineage: Eukaryota; Viridiplantae; Streptophyta; Magnoliopsida; Caryophyllales; Amaranthaceae
Exons: 4
Source: RefSeq, a predicted model, not a curated record